AUGCCAAUAUUCUACAACUUUCAUAUACUUUUGGCAACUUUUUAUACUAUUUUUGGGACCAACAUAUUGAUCCAGUGCCCAGUGCCAGUUCCUGUUUGUUGCAUGUUUUAUGUUUCGCAGAAACCCCACAUCAAACGGAAUCCAAACGGAAUAAAAACGGACGGAGAAUAUUUUUGGAAUAUUUGGAGAAUAUGGGAAGAAGAAUCAACGCGAGACGGUGCCCAAGGUGGCCACGAGGCAGGGGGCACGCCUGCCCCCCCUGGGCGCGCCCCUGACCCUCGUGGGCCCCUCGUAAGGCGGUUGCUGCUAUUCUUUUGCCGCAACAAAGCUAAUUUUUGGAGAAAAAUCUGGGUGAAGGUUUCAAUCAAAUCGGAGUUACGGAUCUCCAUAUAUAUAUACGAAACAGUGAAAGGGCAGAAGACAAGAACGCAGAAACAGAGAGAGACAGAGAGACAGAUCCAAUCUCGGAGGGGCUGUCGCCCCUCCCAUGCCAUGGAGACCAUGGACCAGAGGGGAAACCCUUCUCCCACCUAG
Molecule: ribosomal RNA, 534 nt
Filed under: Triticum aestivum (bread wheat)
Lineage: Eukaryota; Viridiplantae; Streptophyta; Magnoliopsida; Poales; Poaceae
Description: partial small subunit ribosomal RNA
Source: RNAcentral